AGAGCUUGCUGAAUCCAUGGAAUCUUUGAAGGAGAACAAAUUGAAAGUGACAAACUCAUGUUGGCGGAGAGGCAGGCCUUCACAAUACAAAACUUGAUUUGGGUGGGAACUGCAUUGAUGCCUUAGGUUGAUCUUUAGGUGUGUCAACAAUUUGGAUUCAAUCCUGGUAUAUACUCGAGACGAAGUUUGCAGGUAAAAGGACCAUGCUGGAAAUAUACACAAUGGGCUUUCGAGUUGGUGAUUGAGUAAGCUUUGCUAGAGUGUUGCACUCUGCCUCAUUUUUCUUUAGAGGCGGGAGUGUGAUGUUAUAGUUGGAUUACAUUCAUAUUUGUACAUAUUUGACGUGUGAACAACUAGUUCUGGACGUAACUCACACAUUUUCU
This 383-nucleotide unclassified non-coding RNA is filed under the name Hevea brasiliensis (rubber tree). The record is from RNAcentral. Lineage: Eukaryota; Viridiplantae; Streptophyta; Magnoliopsida; Malpighiales; Euphorbiaceae.